GACCUCAAAUCAGGUAGGAUUACCCGCUGAACUUAAGCAUAUCAAUAAGCGGAGGAA
This 57-nucleotide ribosomal RNA is filed under the name Hypsizygus marmoreus. RNAcentral's name for it is "partial 28S ribosomal RNA". The record is from RNAcentral. Lineage: Eukaryota; Fungi; Basidiomycota; Agaricomycetes; Agaricales; Lyophyllaceae.